CAGUCGCCGCGGUAAUACGUAGGUCCCGAGCGUUGUCCGGAUUUAUUGGGCGUAAAGCGAGCGCAGGCGGUUAGAUAAGUCUGAAGUUAAAGGCUGUGGCUUAACCAUAGUACGCUUUGGAAACUGUUUAACUUGAGUGCAGAAGGGGAGAGUGGAAUUCCAUGUGUAGCGGUGAAAUGCGUAGAUAUAUGGAGGAACACCGGUGGCGAAAGCGGCUCUCUGGUCUGUAACUGACGCUGAGGCUCGAAAGCGUGGGGAGCGAACAGGAUUAGAUACCCCCGUAGUCCCUGUCUCUUAUACA
RNAcentral lists this ribosomal RNA (301 nucleotides) under uncultured bacterium. RNAcentral describes it as "partial 16S ribosomal RNA". It matches the Rfam family "Bacterial small subunit ribosomal RNA", at positions 509 to 808 of the family's 1533-position model. The record is from RNAcentral.